GAAAUGCGAUAAGUAAGUGAAUUGCAGAAUUCAGUGAAUCAUCGAAUCUUUGAACGCACAUUGCGCCCGCCAGCACUCUGGCGGGCAUGCCUGUUCGAGCGUCAUUUCAACCCUCAGAACCCCUUGCGGGAUCUGGCGUUGGGGAUUGGCAUCCAGCCAGCCCCGAAAUCUAGUGGCGGUCCCUCCGCGACCUCCCCUGUGCAGUAGCGAUACCUCGCAGCGGGACAGCGGUCUGACCACGCCGUAAAACCCCCAACUUCUCAAGGUUGACCUCGAAUCAGGUAGGAAUACCCGCUGAACUUAAGC
Molecule: unclassified non-coding RNA, 306 nt
Filed under: plant metagenome
Description: partial contains 5.8S ribosomal RNA, internal transcribed spacer 2, and large subunit ribosomal RNA
Rfam family: 5.8S ribosomal RNA (bases 1-104)
Source: RNAcentral